Molecule: ribosomal RNA, 492 nt
Filed under: uncultured bacterium
Lineage: Bacteria
Description: partial 16S ribosomal RNA
Rfam family: Bacterial small subunit ribosomal RNA
Source: RNAcentral
AGUGAACGCUGGCGGCAGGCCUAACACAUGCAAGUCGAACGGAAGCACAGUGCUUGCUUGUGCUUACGGCGGGGGACGGGCGGGUGAGGCCGGGAAAUAUGCGUGUCAGCGGUUUAGAACGGCAUAACGUAGGCGCAAAUACGGCAAUACCGCUGACGGCGUACGUGUGGGAGCAUCGGAUCUUACGCCAUCAGACGAUCCUAUGUGGCGAUGUCGGAUUAGCUAGUUGGCGGGGUAAAGGCCCACCAAGGCGACGAUCCGUAGCUGGUCUGAGAGGAUGAUCAGCCACACUGGAACUGAGACACGGUCCAGACUCCUACGGGAGGCAGCAGUGGGGAAUAUUGGACAAUGGGCGCAAGCCUGAUCCAGCCAUGCCGCGUGUGUGAAGAAGGUCUUCGGAUUGUAAAGCCCUUUAGGUGGGGAGGAAGGGCAGUAAGUUAAUACCUUGCUGUUCUGACGGUACCAAAAGAAUAAGCACCGGCUAACUUCGUG